RNAcentral lists this unclassified non-coding RNA (2456 nucleotides) under Leishmania donovani. RNAcentral's name for it is "gene:LdHU3.30.0520(CDS-product:mitogen-activated_ protein_kinase_putative)". The record is from RNAcentral. Lineage: Eukaryota; Euglenozoa; Kinetoplastea; Trypanosomatida; Trypanosomatidae.
GUGCGCGUAUCUGUUUAAGCAGGAACGCACACACACACAUACACAAACAUACACUCGUACAUCUGUGCGCAUAUAAAACGUGUGCGUGCUAACUUGAGCGCUGAGCGGCGAGGCAACACAAACGCACUCGCCGAUGCGCCCAGCGGGAGAAGAGGAAAGCGGCAAAUACACGUGUGUAUUUGGUGCGGCACGCGCCACGCCCUCGUCUUCCCCUCUCGGCCCAUUCCGCAUUCUUCUCACGUGUUGCCCCUGUCGCCAUACAUAGGGUGGUGGUGUGGGGGUACAACCGCACACGACGAGAGAGUCGAGCGAGCAGAGGAGGGGCAGCUACAGAGAUUACCCGGGAUCGGGGACAGUGUGGGCGGCAAUGAUACUCACCAAGGUAGAGGGCCCUAACGCGGCUGGCAACAAGGUUUACGUCUUUGGUGUGAACGACUACCGCCUUGAGGUCCCAGAGCGCUACAACGUUCAGCACUUUGUGGGGCGUGGCGCUUACGGCUUUGUGUGCAGCGCCGUGGACGCGGUGACGAACGAGCCGGUGGCGAUUAAGAAGGUGACGCACCUCUUCGACGAUGCCGUCGAUGCAAAGCGCGUCUUGCGGGAGGUGAAGCUGUUAGCCUAUCUCAAGCACCCCAACAUCCUCUCCCUCAAGGAUCUCUUCAAGUCACCGGACCCGGUCGACACGUACAGCGAGCUCUACGUUGUGACCGACUUGAUGGAGUCGGACAUGGACGCCAUCCUGCGCUCCCCACGCAUCCGUCUCGCCGCCGGGCACGGGCAGUACUUCACCCUUCAGCUGCUGUGCGCACUGCAAUACAUUCACAGCGCUCAUGUGCUGCACCGAGACCUGAAGCCGGGGAACCUGCUGACAGACUCGGAGUGCAACCUUAAGCUGGGCGACUUCGGCCUCGCGCGGGGUAUCGGGCAUGACGACACCAUGACACAGUAUGUGUUCACGCGGUGGUACCGGCCACCAGAGUUGCUGCUGGUGUGCAAGCACUGCAACUACAGCGCGGACAUGUGGGCUGUUGGAUGCCUUGCGGCAGAGAUGUUCACCGGCAAGCCGCUCUUCCCUGGCAAAGACUACAUCAACCAGAUCAAUCUCAUAGUGGAGUUGCUGGGCAUACCGGACCUGGCACGUGACCUGCCGCCGAGCACGUCAACGGAGGCGAUACACUACCUCUCCUCCCUGCCCCCUAGCAAGGGGAAGAAGCUCGAGGAGUACGCCCCGGAGCUGCGGCGUCGCUUUGACGAGACCACCUUUUAUGACAGCUUCGACACGGAGCUAGAGGAGGCGAUUGCUGCGGAGGGCGCCACCAUCGCCCGCCCUCAGCCACGCCCGCCGGAGGAGUACUACGCCGAGUUCGUCGACUUCAUCUUUGGACUACUUCGUUACAACCCCGAGAAGCGGCGCACAGCGAAGGAGUCCAUAGCGCAUGCGUGGCUGUCGGACGUGCGCGGCCCACAGGAGACCAUUGGCGGCUGCGAGGCGGAGCGAAUAUACCGCUGGGAUGCCGACGGCACCGCCUUCACCAUCCCACAACUUCGCCAUCUCUUUAUAGAUGAGAUCGGAAAGUUUGCGUCUACCCGGGGCAGCUGAGCGCCAUCGAGGCUUUCGAUGCGCGCACGCCGAUCCCGAUUAAAGUCGAUGGGCGGGGCGCUUGAUGGUGGAGGUGCUGGAGCAAGCGCUUGUGCCGAGAGGGCGGAAAGCGGUGAUGUGGGAUGGCAUAUAGUUGCUAGGGGGUGUAAGCGGGUGAGAUCUGGAGGGGUGGGGGCCAUCAGCGCCUUCUCUACACCUCUCUCUCCGUCUCCGUCUCUGACUUUCCUUUUCUCGCUAUGCGUCACUGCAGAUCUCGCUCUGUUGCUGCUCUCCGUGAUCGCUCUCAUUGUCCUCCUCCUCUGCGCACUUUUUAAGUCUUCACUCAACGGCCGCGUUUCCAGCGACAUCAACUCUCCCGAUCGACAAAUAAGAGCGCCGGCGGAGGUGAGCCGUUACAUCAUCGCUUCCCGUCUCUCAGCCGCACUUUCUUGUCGCCUUGCCCGUUUGCUUUGGUGUCUUCGGCGUAGGCCGUUGUGCGUCUCUGUGUCUCUCUCUCUCUCUCUGCGUGUGUGCGUGUGCGGCCGUUGUUGCGCGCUUGCAAGUAAACGGGUGCUUUGCUCUCUCGGGCGGUCGUCACUGCUCUCGCCUGCUGCCGUUGUCGAUGCCGUCGCAAUCCCUUUUCAGCCUCCCUCCCCCCAUCCCUCGCUACACUAUUCCCGCUUGCUUGCUCGCCCGCCCUUCUGCCAUUGACCCUAUUCCCUACACCCGUGUGUUUGUCGACUUCAUGUGCGCUUUUAUACUUGUGUGCCGCCCCGCCCCGUGUGUACCUAUCCCUCCCUCUCUUCGGUGGUCCGGGUUUGUGUCCUGGCGUUCUACUGCAAUGCCACACGCCCCAAUGUCCCCCCUACCCGACGAG